This is a long non-coding RNA of Sarcophilus harrisii (Tasmanian devil), 11014 nucleotides long. The record is from Ensembl. Lineage: Eukaryota; Metazoa; Chordata; Mammalia; Dasyuromorphia; Dasyuridae.
GGAGGAGAGAGCCUGGGAAACUGAAUCUUGAGUGAAGUGGAGCAUAGCUGAGAUCCCUAUGAAGCAGAAAACAGUUUCCACAGAGAAAGCUCUCUUCCUGAUGAUUCUAUCCUAAAGAAGAACAAUAGAAAAGGGAAGAAAAAUACUUUCUGCCAACCUAAGAAGUUCAUUCAGAGGAUGAAGACAAGAACCAUGAAAAGAAUGGAAGCCAUAUUAUUCAGAAAUCGUCUGAAGGAACUUGAGGGCAUUCCACCUGGAGAAGAGAAGGGGACCUUCAGGGCGAUAAUCAACUAAAUUUGACUUGGGCUUCCAAAGCAGAAAAAGCUGAAUAGGUGAUGUUAGCAAAAUCCAUCCCACUCCCUGGCGGGGCACCCACACCCUGCCUUCCAGAUCAUCUUGUGACUACAGUAGGAACCCCUCAGCUGGCUCUGUGCCCCUUUGCUGACUCAGGACUCCAGGGCAGUGUCUGAAAUUGAAAACAUUUGGAGACCACUGAUCUUGAGAAUUCAGUUACAAGCAGCAACACUGAGAACCUGCUAUAUUUAGAACCCAUGCAGACAAUGAUGAAAGCCAAGCAACCACCUGUGUAACCUUGUGACAUAUCACUUUACUCCACUUCAGCCUGGGCAUUUGUAAAAUGAUGGGGUUGGCCCAGAUCAACUCUAAAGUCCCUGUCAGUUCUAAGAAUGUGGAGAGUGACCAGAAAACAGAAAUAAUGGUCUUCAUUCCUCAUGAGGCAGACAGAACCAAACUUCACAUGAAAGAAUAUUUAUGAAGGAGUGGCUGGGUGGUGCAAUGGAUAGAACCUCUGGCCUGGAGUUAGGAAGACCUGAGUUCAAAUGCCACCUUGGACAAUACUUAGCUGUGUAACCAUGGAUGCUUACCUCAGUUUCUUCAUCUGUAAAAUGAUCUGGAAGGAAAUAGCAAACCACUCCAGUAUCUUUGCCAAGACAACUCCAAAAUGGGGUCACAGUCAGAUACAAUUGAAAGAACCUACUGACAAAGUAUAAAUUCACUGAUGCAUCUUAAUCCAACAUUAAAAACAAUCUUCAAAUGUAUACGCUGGAUGCUUAAAGUGCGGCAAAGUUCUGGAGUGCUUGAAAAGAUGUUCUCAAGCAGUGAGGGAGGGAACUAGCUUUUAAUCUGAAGCGUGAGUUUUGAAUCAGUGUUCCAAGAAACGACUCAUGUUAAAUGAAGGAUGGGCCAAGAUCUUGUUUGGGGGAGAGGAGGCAGAUGAACCAGUUAGCAAUGGCACAUCACAUCAUAUUCAGUGGAAGCCUGAGACAAUUGUCCCCAGAGAAUCAAAUUCUAACGAAGGUCAUCUCUGUUGAACUCCCAGAAACCUCAACACUGUAGUCAGAAAGGCAGCAAGACAUAGUAGUUAGUGUUGGAUUUGGAACUUGGAGCACAUUGGUUCAAUUAUUAUCUUGGACCCUUGCUGGCAGCAUGAUCCUGGGCAAGACAUUUAACCUAGAAGAGAAUCAGUUUCUUCAUCUGCAAAAUGGGGGCACUUAUCUCUCUGAGUUGCCCUAAGGAUCAGAUGAGCUAAUGUGUGACUUAAAAUCCUAGAUAAAUAUCAGCUCCGGUCUUGAUAACCCUGGGGCUGACUCUAAAGCAGGCAGAUUAAGCUAUUGAGAAGCCUGUGACUGGGUUGCAGUUCCUUCCUAAUUUGGAAAAAAUACCUGGGGUGGAGUAAAGAGUAGCCUGAAGAAAGAGCUGCUCCCAAAUUUUCCUGCCCACAGGAUUAUUCAGACACUCCACCCUUUCCCUCCACUGUAUUACUGUGCUGUCAGGCAUUUUAAAAAUCCAGGGUACUUGGGAACAGGCAAUGGGGAUCCUGGGGAUGGCGGUGUUCUUUUGAUCUGAGCCAUGAAUCAUAUUUGCUCUGAAGGUCUUUGAGACCCACAUGUUCUGCACUGUUUGGUGUAAUAUUCUUCUUUAAAAUGUAAUCUUCUCUGGGAGCAGGUUUCUUGGGGAGCUUCUGGAGGCAGCCUUUGUUUCAGUUCAGUAUAAUGGCCCCAAAUGCAGCCAAGAAUUAAAGUCCAGAUCCUUUAUUGUUUCCUUUUAAGUCUUGUCUCCUUCCUGGGGCCCAGUGAGCUUUCUUAGAGACCUAUCUCUCCCCUUAGUUCCUGCCACUAGUUCUUUUGCCUCUGCCAGCUUCUGUCUCCAGCCAGCAUAAAGGUGGAAAAUAGAAUGAAUCUGUCUCCUCCUCCAAGAGGGGGCUUCUUCUCUUGUGGGCUUGUCGUCCUUUAAGACGACAAGAAGAGACGCUCUCUUAAAGGUGUGAAUCUUGUAUGUAGAACUCUAAUUAGUACUAAGUACAUUAGUGAACUAGAGAACUGUUAAGUACCAUGCUAAAUUAGAUAACUGAUUUAGCACCUUGUAAGAAUCCUAACAGCUUGGGUCUUCCAAUGCUUUUCCACUAACCCAUCUCCAUGUGCUGCCCACACCAAGCUCCUGGGAGCCUCAGCUAAGGGCUGUGGAUCUGGCAGGGUUGAUAGACAUCUCAGUGAUCUAAUGUAACUUUCUUGGUGUUCAAAAGAAAAGAUGCAAUAUAAUGUACAUUAGGAGUACUUGGAUUAAAAUCUUGCCUCUGACACUUCCUAUCUAUGAAUCUGGAUAGAUUUAACCUUUUCAGGCAUUUGCUAGGAUUUGUCUGAAUGCUCAAUUCAGGAGUCCAGGACCUGAGUUCAAUUUCUGGCACUGCUUCAUAUUACCAAUGUAAUAUUGGAUAAGUCUAGGUUUUUCAAUUUCUUCUUCUGGAAAAUGAGGGGGUUUGUUUAAUUCUGAAGAUCCUUCUAGUUCUGUAAUCCCAUAAUCUCCAUUGGUUGUAAUGGGUUGUAAUCUGCAUUAGCGGUGGGUGUUCCCACACUGGGAAUGACUCAUGUUGAUAAAAUCCUGGAUCCUUUCGUUAUAUAAAACAGGCAAACAGACCCAGAGCAAACUCAACCGCCUAUUCCUCCUCUUCCUUUCCUUGUGCCAUAGACAGAAACUAUUCAUUUUGAAUAUAACUGUUAUUUUCAAGACUACUUUUGGUACAUACUUUACAACUAUCAAAUCCUAGUUUUCAUCUCCCAAUCGCCUCAUCCCACUAACUUUUAGGAUGUAGUAAACCCAUAAACAAAGUCUUAAACAAAAUUCACGAGUAACUGGAGCUUCUGCAGCUUUGAAUGGGUUGCAAUUUGCAUCACUGAAGGGAAUACCCAUAAUGAUGAGAUCCACUGGAACACUGAAUUAUUUGCAUACUCACUAUGAAAUGAUAACUCUUGAUCCAACUGGCAAGUUCCUAAAAUGCCUCCUCCUAAAUGAUGACAAGAGGGGAAAAAACAAGCUAACUUCCUUUUAGUUUUGUGCUAAGGAUAGUUUUUUCUAGGCUGGAUUUGUGAUUUUAAUUUCUUUCGUAUUCUAAUUAUCUGAAAACUGGCAAUACAUGCAUAGUAUGGUAUUCUGUUUUUGGGUCAAGGACUCCUUAACGUGGUGCUGCCUAGGUGUUGGAGAUGGGAAUGGAGACCCCAAAAGUUUGGGUUCCCAGAUUCCUGUCAUGAGGUAUCUCAAAAGAAUUUGCAGAUUUGAACCCAUGUCCUAAUCAAAGGGCAAAGUUUUAUUGAAAGUAAUAGUACAUUACAAAGCGGACUGAAUUCUAAGGGAAUCCAGGAAAGAAAUUGAAGCAAGGAGAUACACUUAUCCAGCUUUCAGAUCAUGGAAAUGCUAAUUCUGUGGUUCAUAGUAGGAAGCAGUGGUCUCCAGAAAGAGUGAUUCUUGGUUGUUCAGAUUAUUACUGACAAGAUUACCAGUCAGCAUUGAGGAAUGGUCUUAUUCAUUAUUGUCUCAGGAGUUUGAUCUGUGGGAGUUUCCUGAGGCCAGAAGCUAUGGCAGAUUCCAAAGCCAAAAGACCCAGACCACUGACCCAUUAGAACAGAAGUCCCCCCAAGGUCAGGGGACUGUAAAAUCACAUUAUAUCAUAUAGGGACUCCUCCAAAUAAUGUUUUUAAAUGUGUAAAACAAAUUAUAAGAAUUAUAAAGAAAACCAGUUAUACUGAAAUACAGUAAUCAAAAUAUUUUUCAGAAAAACAGGUUCACACUCUAAUAUAUUAUUGAGGGAAUGGCAAAUUGAUCCAACUAUUCUGGAAAUCAAUUUGGAAGCCAAAUUGCAAUGGAAUUGUGUAUACCCUUUGAUCCAGCAAUACCACUACUAGAUAUGUAUCCCAAAGAUCAUAAAAAGGGGAAAGGACCCACAUAUACAAAGAUGUUUAUAGCAACUCUUUUUGUGGUGGCAAAGAUUGGAAACUGAGUGGAUGCCCAUCAACUGGGGAAUGGCUGAACAAGUUAUAGUAUAUGAAUAUAAUGGAAUAUUAUUGUGCUAUAAGAAAUGAUAAGCAGGCAGAUUUCAGAAAAACCUGGAAAGACUUACAUGAACUGAUGCUGAGUGAAUUGAGCAGAACCAGAACAGUAACAGCAACAUUGUGCUGUGUGUGAUCAGCUUUGGUGGAUUUAGGUCUCCUCAGCAAUGCAAUGAUAAAAGACAAUUCCAAAAGAUCAUGAUGGAAAAUGUUUAUCCCUAUCCAGAGAAAGAAGCAUGGAGCUGAAUGCAGAUUGAAGCAUACUAUUUUAAUUUUUGGAUUUUGGGGUUUUUUUGUCUUUUCUUUCUUGUGAUUUUCCCCUUUUCUUCUUCUUUUCAUUCAUUCAUUCAUCUUUUUCAUUCAUCAUUCAUUUCAUUCAUCUUUUUCAACAUGACUAAUAUGAAAAUGUUUAAUAUUGUACAUGUAUAACCUAUAUCACAUUGCUUGCCAUUUUGAGAGGAGCUAUGGGAAAGUAGUGAAAGAGGGGGGAAGAUAGAACUCAAAAUCUUGUAAAAGUGGAUGUUGAUUAUAUUUCUACCAUGUUUAACAUAUAUUGGACUACUUGCCAUCUAGAGAAGGGCAUGGGGGAAAGGAGGGGAAAUUGGAACACAUAGUUUUCCAAGAGCUAAUGUUAAAAAAUUGUUCAUGCAUAUGUUUUUAUAAACAUAUAAGCAUAUAUGUUUAUGUAUGUAUAAACUUUUUAUUUAAAGCUUUAAUUUUAAAAAGUGAAUGUUGAUGAAGCAAGCAAAACCAGAAAACAUUGUAGACAGCAACAAGAAGAUUGGGUGGAUGAUCAAUUAUGAUGAGAUUUGGUUCUUCUGGGAAAUUCCAGUGAUCCAAAGCAAUUCUAAUAAAUUCGGGAUGGAAUUCAGAGAGAAAACUUUGGAGACUGAAUGUGGAUCAAUGCAUCUAUUUUCACCCUUUUCUUUUUUGUUUUUUUUUUCCCUCAAGGGUUUUCCCUAUUGUUCUGAUUGUUUUCUCCCAACAUGACUCAUAUGGAAAUAUGCAAAACAAUGAAUGUACAUGUAUAAGCUAAAACAAAUUAAAAAUAUUUAAAGAAUAAAAUUAAAAAGCAGAUGUUGAAAACUAUCUUUACAUGAAAUUGGGAAAAAUACAUAAACAUUCUUAAAAAUAAAGUUCACAAACCCUAGAUUAGGAGCCUCUGGAAAAGAAGACUAUUAUCUCUUUAUAUUUUAGAAAUGAGGUCUUUAUCCAAACCCUUGGAUGUAAAAAUUUUUUCCCAGUUUACUGAUUCCCCAAAGUAGACAGUUAUCUACUAAGUCAGUAAUCUCCCUAGAUCUCUUUUUCUUAGGAAGCACUACCCUGCCUAUGUAUCUCAUAGGAUGGUUAUAGAGAUUAGAGUAGAUGUGAAAGUAUUUUGAAGACCACUAAGUGCUAUAAAAUGCAAGUAUUAUGAGUAAUAAUAUUAGUAAUCAUCAUCAUCAUCAUUUCAGAUUGUCCAGAGGAACCAUUAUAGGAAGGAAUGACUUUGGAUAGCUGUAGCAAGAAUUGUAGCAAAUUUGAAAUCAAAAGCCCCAAGUUCAAAUUCCAUCUCUGACAUUUUCUAACUUUGUGAUGAUGGGCAAAUCUUAACCUCAAUGAGCCUCACUUUCCCCAUUUGUGAAAUGAAGCUGAUAAUAAAGUCCUCUAUAACCUGACCUCUUGUUACAUUUCUGGAAUUCUUACACAUUAUUCCCUUUUAUAUGCUCUAAAUACCAGCAGAAGGUGGCAUUCCAUCUCUGGUCUACUUGUGCAACCUGUAUUUCACAUCUGGAAUGCCCUUACUUCUGCCUCUAUUUCUCUGUCUUCCUUCUUCAGGAUGGCACAGUUCUGGCUGUGUGGCCCUGGGCAAGUCACUUCACCCUGUUUGCCUCAGUUUCCUUAUCUGUAAAAUAAGCCAGAGAAGGAAAUGGGAAACCACUCCAGUAUCUUCUUACCCAAAUGGGGUGAAAGAGUUAGACAUGAUUGAAAUGACUGAAUAACAACAAAAACCACCUUCUUCGGGGGGCUUUUCCCUGUCCCCAUACUUUUUGCUUUGCUCCUCAACUGCCAGUGCCUUCCACUCUUAGCUUAUUUUUACAUAAAUUGUACAUAUUAUAUAUCUACCUGGUUGUUGACUUUGCUAUCAGAAUAGGGGCACUUUUUUUUUUCUUUUUUACUCUUUCUUUCCAGUCCCAGCCCUUAGCACAGUACCUGGCACAUAUUAAGUGUUUAAUACAUACUUGCCAUUGUCUCCCUGCCUCAUAGAGCUGUUGUGAUGGAAUGUGAUUUGUAAACCUUAGAAUGCAGGGAAGGAAAGUAUGUGUACAGGUGGAGUAGUGAGAUGGUGAGAACUACUGUUAUUUUUCCUCUACUGAUAACCCUACUCUGAUGCCUGGAAGACACUGGGCAUUUAAAAGCUAGACCAGAAUGAAUCCGAGGAGGAUAAACCUAGCUAAGCGCAGAGAGGCUUAGCACCAAAAGCUUGACCAGGUGACGAUCUUUUUUGACCAUAGUCAUUCAGGCAGCAUGAAAAGACUUCUGUCUGUGUCAGUGGAGGGCAUUUUAGUACUCAUAAAACUAUGAAUAUUUUGAUAUUAUUUUCCCCAUUAUGUUAAUUAAUAUUAAAUAAUUACUAAUUAAUGUUGAAUAAUAUUAAUGUUAAGUAAAAUAUAUUUACUAAGGGCAGUUAGUGCCUACUGGGGAGAUCCCUGAGCCUGUGUUAAGAAAAUUGUGGGUUCCAAUCUGGUCUCAGACACUUAUUAGCUGGGUGAGUCACUUCACCCUGUUUGCCUCAGUUUCCUCAUCUGUAAAAUAAGUUGAAGAAGGAAAUGGCAAAUGACUCCACUGUCUUUGCCUAGAAAACCCAAAUGGGGUUACAGAAAGUUAGACACGACUGAAAAAUGACCGAACAACAAUAACAAUGUGAUUUAUUGCCUUACUCUGGCAUGAUACAUGCCAAUGUAAACAGUAUAAUAUGAUCAAAAGAGUACAGAAUUUGCAAUCAGAGUUCUUGUUUGCAAUCCCAGAUCCAAUCCUUAUUUGUGUGUGUUUGAACAGACACACCACAGACCCCUCUGGACUUGAGGUCAGCAAUACUCUGCUUUAAAUCUUUCCUCUGACACUUUCGGGCCAGUCACUUAAUCCAUGUGCCUCAGUUUUCCCAGCUGUAAAAUGGAAAUAGUAAUAACACCUACCUACCUACCAGGACUAUUAUGAGGAUCAGAUGAUAUUUGUAAAGCACCUAAAUACAAGCAUGAUUAUUGUUAUUUGUCUCUCUGAGCCUCAGUUUCCUUAAUUGUAAAAUGAUGAGAGAGUUGGAUUAUGAUAUAAUGCCAAGCAAUGAGUAGCCCUCUCUUACCAUUCACUGGAUACAUCACGUAGGGCAAUUCACAUCCAUCUUUCUGGCUGACAGUUUUCUCAUGGAUGGCCUCUAAACUCCUUUCUGGCUCCUAAUCUAUGCUCCUCUGAUCCCUUCCAACUUUAAAAUCUUUGCCAGGUUUUCUGAGUAACAAAAUCUUACAAAACCCAUUCCAGCGCUUGGAUAAUCCUGUUUCCUAAGAUUGCUGCCCCCCAGCCGUGCCAUCCUAGCACAUGUGCCCCUUGCAGAUGAGACAGGCGUGUGCAUGGAAGGAACACGUGGGUGCAUGCAAGGCCAGACCGAACAUGUCAGGGGCUCAAACGUGGCAUCUGGGACAGAAGGAGGAAAGGGAAGGGGGAAGGGCAGAAGAACACGGGCUGCGUAUUUUUUUUCCUAAAUCUGUGUUAAUAGUAAACAAAACUUGCUCCCUAAGUCUUUUAAGCAUGCGAUUUUUUAAAGACACAUUAACAUUUUGAUCGAUGGAAAGUUUGUUCACUAGAAAUACAGCUCUGCUUAAAAGCUCUCAAUGAGGCAGUAAGUUUAAAAGUCAUUCUAGUACAAAUGCCUCCUUUACAGAGGAGAAAACUGAAGCAAAGAGGGCAGGUUAGGGAGCUGGAUUACAAACUCUAUCCCCCUUCCCUUCCCCCUCACCCCCCCCCCCCACCCUCCCACUCCCCAUGAUAAAUCAAGUUCUUUCCAUUGUACAGGCUACCAGCUCCAAAGUUGAUCUGACUCAUUCCCUGUGGCCAGAGAGUUCUGGGGAAUGUGGGGGUGGGGUGGGAUGGGGUGGAAGAGGUGAGGAUACCUGGUGGGUGGAAAAUUUCCUAACGUUAAAGGCGGUGUCGGAAGGAGCCCCAGGCCACUGCACUCUUCCCAGGGGAAAUGGUGACUGCCCACACCAUUGCCCCUACCCCACUUUAUUCUUUAAAAAAACGGAGCUAGUUAUCCAAUGCCAAAGGAAACAAGCUAGUCCCACCCCACUAGAAAUGAUGACUGCCCACACUCUUGCCCUUACCCCACUUUAUUCUUUAAAAAAAAUGGAGCCAAUUAUCCAAUACCAAAGGGAACAAUCUAGUUCCACCCCACCCGCUUCACUUCCCUUAAGCAGUAUUUGCAAACCCUUGAUUGCUCUUAGGUACUCGAACCCACAUCCAAGUCUGUUUUUUAAUUGUCUCUUUGCAUUUGCAUCUGAUUAUUUCUUCUCUCUUAUCUAACAGUCCAUCCUUAGAGAGGCUUCAGGGGAGGAGAAAGUUAUCUAGACCACUGUCUUCAAAGGUGGGAUUUGGGGUCUGACCUCAAAGAGUAUGUAUUUCCUUAAGCACAGAUCUAACUCAGUGGAUUCCUAAUACUCUAGAUUAAAACAUAGACUCUUCUAUUUAGCUUUUAAAACCCUCCAAACCCAGCCCAAAUCUAUUUUUCCGGACUCAUCUGGAAAUUACUAUCCAUCCCACACUCUUCAAUAGAGCCACAUUGGCCUUCUCUUAUUUUUCUCACAUCCUUGUUGCACUAUUUAUUCAUCAGGAUUAGAGUGCACUACUUUUUUAAUUCAUCUCUUCCUAAAAUAACUCAAGUACCAUCUUCCGUGCGAAGUUUUCUUGAUCGCCUUCUAAUUUUGUAUUUAUUUACUUUAUCAUGUGCAUAUAUACCUAUACACACUUGUAUAUGCACAGGUAUAUACACACAUUUAUAUUAUAGAUAUGCGUAUUCACAAAAUAUACACUUAUACAUAUAUAGGGGGAGGAGAAGAGGGAAGAGAGAGAAUCUCUUGCUCUUAGACUGUAAUCUCCUUGCCCGCCUGCCUACUUUUGGCCAUUGUAUCAUCUCCCCAGUCCUAGGAGAGUGCCUGGCAUAUAAUGGGUUCUAAACAAAUACUUGUUUAAGAUAAUUCCAAUAGACGAGAUGGAAAAUGUCAUCCUCAUCGAGAGAGAACUAUGGAGAUUGAAGGUGGAAGGAAGAAUAAUACUUUCACCUUUUUGUUUGAUUGCUUUUUCUUUCUUGUGGUUUUUUUCUCUUUUGUUCUGAUUUUUCUCGCACAUGACAAAUAUGGAAAUAUGUUUAAAAGUUUGCACAUAUUUAACCUACUUAUUAACCUAUUGCUUGUUGGGAAGGAGAAAGAAAAAAAUGGAAUACAAAGUCUUACAAAAAUGAAUAUUGAAAACUAUUUUUACAUGUGUUUGGAAAAAUAAAAUCCUAGCUAUACCCAGAAAAAGAACUCUGGGAGAUGACUAAAAACCAUUACAUUGAAUUCCCAGUCCCUAUAUUUAUGCCCACCUGCAUCUUUGAUUUCCUUCACAAGCUAAUUGUACAAUAAUUCAGAGUCUGAUUCUUUUUGUACAGCAAAAUAAUGAUGUGGUCAUGUAUACUUAUUGUGUAUCUAAAUUAUAUUUUAAUAUAUUUAACAUCUACUGGUCAUCCUGCCAUUUAGGGGGUGGGGGGGGGUAAGAGGUGAAAAAUUGGAACAAGAGGUUUGGCAAUUGUUAAUGCUGUAAAGUUACCCAUGUAUAUAUAUCCUGUAAAUUAAAGGCUAUUAAAUAAAAAAAAAAAAAAAAAAAAAAAAAAGAUCUUAAAUAAAAAAAAAUAAUAAUAAUAAUUAAAAAAAAAAAAAAAGAAAAAUAAAAUCCUAUUAAGAAAAAAACAUACUUGCUGAUUGUGUAAAUGGUGAAGUAGUGGGGUGGGAAAUAGUGGGGUGGGAAGAUAGGCUAUAUCCCACUUUCCCUAUAAAAGUUAAUCAGGCCUUGUCUACUCUAGACAACCAUUCCUAUCUUUAUCUGCCCCCACUUUUACAGUCUCUGUAAGAAACUCUCUCUCCUGAAAGCUUCUAUUGCCCCACUUUAGAGCCCAUGGAUGGGUCCCCCAGGGGAAGCAUAACAUAACUGUUACGGGGAUCCCAUAAGCGGCAGUUACCCAGAUGUCCUUGAGAAUUCCUCCCCACCCCACUCCUUGUCCCUCAGAUACCCUCAGAGCCUUUUCAGGAAUCCCUCAGAGGGCCAGUUCUACUGUCUGGGGCAGUGACCUAUGAGUAAGAGCUCUGUCUUCCCUUCCUCCCUUUUGGGUGGGGCAGGGUGAGUCACACCAUGGACUCUAGAUCUCAUCUUAUUUUCUUUUCUUCCAUAUCGCCUUCCUGACUUCCCUAUCUCUGUUGGGGAUACCAUCUCCACCUUGCCAAUAAUCCAGGCUCUUCCACACACAGCAUAUCCCAAUAGUUACAAUUCUUGAAGAGUUUUGGGACACUGCAUUGAGUAGGUCCUGUCUCUACUUCCACAAUAUCUCUAGAAUUUGUUCCCUUCACACAGCACUUUAUUCCCUCUUGGCUGGACUCUUGCAAUAGCUUCUU